Ribosomal RNA from Pteropus vampyrus (large flying fox), 122 nucleotides. The record is from Ensembl. NCBI's taxonomy places the organism in Eukaryota, Metazoa, Chordata, Mammalia, Chiroptera, Pteropodidae.
GUCUGUGGCCAUGCUACCUUGAACAACAAGCCUGAUCUCGUUUAAUCUCAGAAGCUAAGCAGGGUCAGGCCUGGUUAGUACUUGGAUGGGAGACCACCUAGGAAGACCAGGUGCUAUAAGCA